AUUGAACGCUGGCGGCAGGCCUAACACAUGCAAGUCGAGCGGAUGAAGGGAGCUUGCUCCUGGAUUCAGCGGCGGACGGGUGAGUAAUGCCUAGGAAUCUGCCUGGUAGUGGGGGAUAACGUCCGGAAACGGGCGCUAAUACCGCAUACGUCCUGAGGGAGAAAGUGGGGGAUCUUCGGACCUCACGCUAUCAGACGAGCCUAGGUCGGAUUAGCUAGUUGGUGGGGUAAAGGCCUACCAAGGCGACGAUCCGUAACUGGUCUGAGAGGAUGAUCAGUCACACUGGAGCUGAGACACGGUCCAGACUCCUACGGGAGGCAGCAGUGGGGAAUAUUGGACAAAGGGCGAAAGCCUGAUCCAGCCAUGCCGCGUGUGUGAAGAAGGUCUUCGGAUUGUAAAGCACUUUAAGUUGGGAGGAAGGGCAGUAAGUUAAUACCUUGCUGUUUUGACGUUACCAACAGAAUAAGCACCGGCUAACUUCGUG
Molecule: ribosomal RNA, 484 nt
Filed under: uncultured bacterium
Lineage: Bacteria
Description: partial 16S ribosomal RNA
Rfam family: Bacterial small subunit ribosomal RNA
Source: RNAcentral